Molecule: ribosomal RNA, 484 nt
Filed under: uncultured bacterium
Lineage: Bacteria
Description: partial 16S ribosomal RNA
Rfam family: Bacterial small subunit ribosomal RNA
Source: RNAcentral
AUUGAACGCUGGCGGCAGGCCUAACACAUGCAAGUCGAGCGGAUGAAGGGAGCUUGCUCCUGGAUUCAGCGGCGGACGGGUGAGUAAUGCCUAGGAAUCUGCCUGGCAGUGGGGGAUAACGUCCGGAAACGGGCGCUAAUACCGCAUACGUCCUGAGGGAGAAAGUGGGGGAUCUUCGGACCUCACGCUAUCUGAUGAGCCUAGGUCGGAUUAGCUAGUUGGUGGGGUAAAGGCCUACCAAGGCGGCGAUCCGUAACUGGUCUGAGAGGAUGAUCAGUCACACUGGAACUGAGACACGGUCCAGACUCCUACGGGAGGCAGCAGUGGGGAAUAUUGGACAAUGGGCGAAAGCCUGAUCCAGCCAUGCCGCGUGUGUGAAGAAGGUCUUCGGAUUGUAAAGCACUUUAAGUUGGGAGGAAGGGCAGUAAGUUAAUACCUUGCUGUUUUGACGUUACCAACAGAAUAAGCACCGGCUAACUUCGUG